Molecule: non-coding RNA, 27 nt
Filed under: Mus musculus (house mouse)
Lineage: Eukaryota; Metazoa; Chordata; Mammalia; Rodentia; Muridae
Source: RNAcentral
UNGCCAAUGCCAGGUCCAGCCAUCAGU